GAGUAAUGUCUGGGAAACUGCCUGAUGGAGGGGGAUAACUGCUGGAAACGGUAGCUAAUACCGCAUAACGUCGCAAGACCAAAGAGGGGGACCUUCGGGCCUCUUGCCAUCGGAUGUGCCCAGAUGGGAUUAGCUAGUAGGUGGGGUAACGGCUCACCUAGGCGACGAUCCCUAGCUGGUCUGAGAGGAUGGCCAGCCACACUGGAACUGAGACACGGUCCAG
Molecule: ribosomal RNA, 223 nt
Filed under: uncultured bacterium
Lineage: Bacteria
Description: partial 16S ribosomal RNA
Rfam family: Bacterial small subunit ribosomal RNA
Source: RNAcentral